This 570-nucleotide ribosomal RNA is filed under the name uncultured Actinomycetes bacterium. RNAcentral describes it as "bacterial SSU rRNA". It matches the Rfam family "Bacterial small subunit ribosomal RNA", at positions 338 to 918 of the family's 1533-position model. Lineage: Bacteria; Bacillati; Actinomycetota; Actinomycetes. The record is from RNAcentral.
CCUACGGGAGGCAGCAGUGGGGAAUAUUGCACAAUGGGCGGAAGCCUGAUGCAGCAACGCCGCGUGCGGGAUGACGGCCUUCGGGUUGUAAACCGCUUUCGCCUGUGACGAAGCGUGAGUGACGGUAAUGGGUAAAGAAGCACCGGCUAACUACGUGCCAGCAGCCGCGGUGAUACGUAGGGUGCGAGCGUUGUCCGGAUUUAUUGGGCGUAAAGGGCUCGUAGGUGGUUGAUCGCGUCGGAAGUGUAAUCUUGGGGCUUAACCCUGAGCGUGCUUUCGAUACGGGUUGACUUGAGGAAGGUAGGGGAGAAUGGAAUUCCUGGUGGAGCGGUGGAAUGCGCAGAUAUCAGGAGGAACACCAGUGGCGAAGGCGGUUCUCUGGGCCUUUCCUGACGCUGAGGAGCGAAAGCGUGGGGAGCGAACAGGCUUAGAUACCCUGGUAGUCCACGCUGUAAACGGUGGGUACUAGGUGUGGGGUCCAUUCCACGGGUUCCGUGCCGUAGCUAACGCUUUAAGUACCCCGCCUGGGGAGUACGGCCGCAAGGCUAAAACUCAAAUGAAUUGACGGGG